AGUAACGCGUGAGGAACCUGCCUCAAAGAGGGGGACAGCAGUUGGAAACGACUGCUAAUACCGCAUAAGCCCACGGCUCGGCAUCGAGCAGAGGGAAAAGGAGUGAUCCGCUUUGAGAUGGCCUCGCGUCCGAUUAGCUAGUUGGUGAGGUGACGGCCCACCAAGGCGACGAUCGGUAGCCGGACUGAGAGGUUGAACGGCCACAUUGGGACUGAGACACGGCCCAG
RNAcentral lists this ribosomal RNA (227 nucleotides) under uncultured bacterium. Its description in RNAcentral is "partial 16S ribosomal RNA". It matches the Rfam family "Bacterial small subunit ribosomal RNA", at positions 109 to 334 of the family's 1533-position model. The record is from RNAcentral.